CCUACGGGGUGCAGCAGUGAGGAAUAUUGGUCAAUGGGCGGAAGUCUGAACCAGCCAUGCCGCGUGCAGGAUGACGGCUCUAUGGGUUGUAAACUGCUUUUAUACGGGAAUAAUCUUCGUUACGCGUACCUUUUUGUAUGUACCUUACGAAUAAGGAUCGGCUAACUCCGUGCCAGCAGCCGCGGUAAUACGGAGGAUUCGAGCGUUAUCCGGAUUUAUUGGGUUUAAAGGGUGCGUAGGCGGGUUGAUAAGUUAGAGGUGAAAUUUCGGGGCUUAACCCCGUGCCUGCCUCUGAUACUGGUAGACUAGAGUGCGGAUGCAGCAGGCGGAAUGAGUAGUGUAGCGGUGAAAUGCUUAGAUAUCACGCAGAACACCGAUUGCGCAGGCAGCUUGCUAAGCCGCAUCUGACGUUGAUGCACGAAAGUGUGGGUAGCGAACAGGAUUAGAUACCCUGGUAGUC
This 460-nucleotide ribosomal RNA is filed under the name uncultured bacterium. RNAcentral's name for it is "partial 16S ribosomal RNA". It matches the Rfam family "Bacterial small subunit ribosomal RNA", at positions 338 to 795 of the family's 1533-position model. The record is from RNAcentral.